AGAAGGAGAAGGAGAAGAGGACCAAGGUGCAGCGUGGUAGAAGGAGAAGAGGACCAAGGUGCAGUGUGGUAGAAGGAGAAGGAGAAGAGGACCAAGGUGCAGAGUGGUAGAAGGAGAAGGAGAGGAGGACCAAGGUGCAGCGUGGUAGAAGGAGAAGAGGACCAAGGUGCAGUGUGGUAGAAGGAGAAGGAGAAGAGGACCAAGGUGCAGAGUGGUAGAAGGAGAAGGAGAAUAGGACCAAGGUGCAGCGUGGUAGAAGGAGAAGGAGAAGAGGACCAAGGUGUAGCGUGGUAGAAGGAGAAGGAGAAGAGGACCAAGGUGUAGCGUGGUAGAAGGAGAAGAGGACCAAGGUGCAGCGUGGAAGGACCCACCAACGUGAGCUGAGCAGAUAACCAAUCAGGAUGCCAUUUCAAGGUUGGUCUCAACAUCACAGCCAAACUAAAGGAAGACAGACAUUCAAUGACUCACCACUGUCAAUGCAGUGCAUUGGUCUACAAAACCAGAUGAUUUCAUUUGAUGUGUUGUUUAUUGUCAAGGGGAAUACCAUUUUACAAUGUGGAAGAGGAAGGUAAUAUUUGUGAAAUAUUCACCUCCUAAGAAAUUUUCA
Molecule: long non-coding RNA, 607 nt
Organism: Oncorhynchus tshawytscha (Chinook salmon)
Lineage: Eukaryota; Metazoa; Chordata; Actinopteri; Salmoniformes; Salmonidae
Source: Ensembl